UACGGGGGGGGCCCGCUUUUUUCUUCCUUACUUUUCUUAAAUUUCUCGUAGGCGGCCAACUAAGUCAGACGUGAAAUCCCUCGGCUUAACCGGGGAACUGCGUCUGAUACUGGAUGGCUUGAGGUUGGGAGAGGGAUGCGGAAUUCCAGGUGUAGCGGUGAAAUGCGUAGAUAUCUGGAGGAACACCGGUGGCGAAGGCGGCAUCCUGGACCAAUUCUGACGCUGAGUGAGCGAAAGCCAGGGGAGCAAACGGG
Molecule: ribosomal RNA, 254 nt
Filed under: uncultured bacterium
Lineage: Bacteria
Description: partial 16S ribosomal RNA
Rfam family: Bacterial small subunit ribosomal RNA
Source: RNAcentral